Molecule: RNA transcript, 1412 nt
Organism: Mytilus californianus (California mussel)
Lineage: Eukaryota; Metazoa; Mollusca; Bivalvia; Mytilida; Mytilidae
Gene name: cardioacceleratory peptide receptor-like
Exons: 5
Source: RefSeq, a predicted model, not a curated record
AUUUAGAUUGUCUUACAAUUUACUGGACGCUGCCAACUUACAGAUUUAUGUUUUACAUUUCUAAUUAGUAUACCAUAGCACGUGUUUAGAAGUUUCAUAUCAUCACGUUAUUUUACAAGUUUUAUGACAUGUUACGUAAUUGGGAUUCUUUAAGAGAUAAAUUCAACAUGGAUUGAUUAUAAAUCAGACGAGUUCCGAAUAAACAAACUCCAAAUUUGCUAUCGAUCUGAUUGAAACUAAUAGUACAGACUUGUAUACGAUUGUGUUUUUAUUACUUGAUAGAUAGAUGUGGAAUUAAUGCAAAAUGGCCGUGACAGACAACAUAACUGUAAAUUUGAGUAUAAUCUUGAAUAAAGCGACAGAGAGCAGCAUAGAAAUAAUGAAGUACAAGAUCUGUGUGUGGGAAUAUUUUUUGUAUUGCCUGAAACUUUGUUUAAUUGGUUCGACAUACCAUGGAAUCGACACGUGUGUUAUAUUUUUUAUGUGUAUUUUUCAAUGGUCCCUUUUUAUGCGUCAACAUAUGCAAUUGUCGUGUUAUCAAUUGACCGUACAUAUGUUAUUUUAAGACCAUUUGCUUCAGCAUCUAAAGGCAAACAAUACCGAUAUGGAAUGGCAUUGUCUGCAUGGGUUAUUGGGUGUAUUCUUGCUAUUCCGUACGGAGUCUUUGGUGAAUAUAGUGAAGAGGACAUUUACUGCUUACAUGUUGCUCCAAUCUUAAUAAUGUUAUACAUGGAUCUCUGUACUAUAAUCAUAAUUCCACUGAUAAUCAUAUGUGUGUGCUACAUUAUUGUCAUCAUCAAAAUACGUGGUCGCGAAAGAGAUGAAUUUAUUCUGGAUAAAAACAAAGAUUCAGAUAAUGAUUGUGAUAUAGAGUUAAAACAUAAAGCUGCAACAAAGGCAAAGAUCAGAACCAUAAAAUUAUUAUGUGUUGUCGUUUUCGCAUAUAUAAUUUGUUGGUCCCCGAUAACAAUUGCUGCCAUUGUGCUCCAUUAUAGACUCGCGGAAUAUGGACUGUGGUUUAUGGUGCUUUAUCUGCUUGCUCCGUUAAACAGCCUGGCAAAUCCACUGGUAUUUCUCAUUUUCAACCAGAAAAUGUUUCGGCGUAAAAAGAAAAAAGGUUUUAGCAGAACGACUUUUAAUACAGACACCCAGAGAGUAACAUUAUGUAGCUAGAUUUGCAAUGAUUAUGAUCAGACGCAUGAUAUGUACAUGUACAUGCUUCAUUUGGUGCAGUAUAUAUAAUCGUUUUGGCUUCCCCCUUUUGUAAUAGCUUUUGGGCUUUCAAAUAUUUUGGCCCCGAGCAAAGAAGAGACAUUAAUUGUCGAGAUGCGUAUCUGGUGCAGUAAUAUUGGCACUGUUAAUACUAUUAUAUAAUUAUGUUAUAAUGAUAAUAAAAAAAGCAGAGAUAUGAA